RNAcentral lists this ribosomal RNA (400 nucleotides) under Rhampholeon moyeri. RNAcentral describes it as "12S ribosomal RNA". It matches the Rfam family "Bacterial small subunit ribosomal RNA", at positions 780 to 1400 of the family's 1533-position model. Lineage: Eukaryota; Metazoa; Chordata; Lepidosauria; Squamata; Chamaeleonidae. The record is from RNAcentral.
AGAUACCCUACUAUGCCCAACUGUAAAUACAGACCCGCUGCCCGCCAGAGAACAACGAGCUAAAGCUUAAAACUCAAAGGACUUGGCGGCACUCCACACCCCCCUAGAGGGGCCUGUCACAUAAUCGAUAAUCCACGAUACACCUCACCCCUUUUAUUUAGCCUAUAUACCGCCGUCGCCAGCCCAUCUUGAUAGAGGAGACCAAUGGGCCCAAUAGUCUCACCACACUAAUACGACAGGUCAAGGUGUAGCCAACAAAGCGGCAAAUGAUGAGCCACAUUGCCCUCAAAGCAAAACCAAAAUUGUAGUGAAACACGCACUUUAAGGUGAAUUUAACAGUAAGGUGGACAAGAAAACCCGCCUAAAGGCUGCUCUGGAGCGUGCACACACCGCCCGUCAC